UACGGGGGGGGGCAAGCGUUGUUCGGAAUUACUGGGCGUAAAGGGCUCGUAGGUGGCCAACUAAGUCAGACGUGAAAUCCCUCGGCUUAACCGGGGAACUGCGUCUGAUACUGGAUGGCUUGAGGUUGGGAGAGGGAUGCGGAAUUCCAGGUGUAGCGGUGAAAUGCGUAGAUAUCUGGAGGAACACCGGUGGCGAAGGCGGCAUCCUGGACCAAUUCUGACGCUGAGGAGCGAAAGCCAGGGGAGCAAACGGGG
Molecule: ribosomal RNA, 255 nt
Filed under: uncultured bacterium
Lineage: Bacteria
Description: partial 16S ribosomal RNA
Rfam family: Bacterial small subunit ribosomal RNA
Source: RNAcentral